Long non-coding RNA from Melitaea cinxia (Glanville fritillary), 647 nucleotides. RefSeq lists it as uncharacterized. Lineage: Eukaryota; Metazoa; Arthropoda; Insecta; Lepidoptera; Nymphalidae. The record is from RefSeq and is a predicted model, not a curated record. The transcript has 2 exons.
CGAAGCACGAGACUGUAGACAACAACAGCACUGCGAAAAAUGUCGCCGUAACGGACAUACUACUGCAGCCUGUUGGUUUGGUGCUGGGACAUCGCGACCGCAAUUAAAUCAGAAUUUGGGGAUCAGCACUGGAGAACAGCAAAACAAGGACCGUGGGACACGGCCUACACAGGAUGGCCGAGUGUUAUCAAGUAUUCAAUAGUCGCUCAACGAUUAUGACUAGUUAAUAUUAAUUGUUAUGAUAUAGCUUAGUAAUUACAUAUUGUAUUAAUUUCUUAAAUCAAUAAUUAUUAUUCUUAUUUAUAAUUAUAUUCGUUUAACAUUAUAAAUGUAAGUUAAUCAAUAACUAGCUUUGAUUUGACACAUCGAUAAAAUUGUAUAAAAAGGGUAGAUAAUCAUUUUAAGCAUUCAUUAUUAUUCGACUUGUUAACAACGUUACGCUGUUCAAAAAUAUAGACAGAUUGUGGUAAUCGCCUUGGCUAUUUAAUUUAAAAACCCACCAGUGUUUUACAGUACUUAUGUAAUAAUAUUAGUGAUAAAUUGUUACAAUAUAUUUAAUUCAUUAUACGCUUCUUAAAGAUAAAAGUAUUUAAUUUCACUGAUCAGACAAUAAUUCUUAGAUUAAUAAAGUAUGAAUAUAUUAUAAA